RNAcentral lists this ribosomal RNA (530 nucleotides) under uncultured Hyphomonas sp. Its description in RNAcentral is "bacterial SSU rRNA". It matches the Rfam family "Bacterial small subunit ribosomal RNA", at positions 61 to 646 of the family's 1533-position model. The record is from RNAcentral. Lineage: Bacteria; Pseudomonadati; Pseudomonadota; Alphaproteobacteria; Hyphomonadales; Hyphomonadaceae.
GUCGAACGAUAUAGUGGCAGACGGGUGAGUAACGCGUGGGAACGUGCCUUUCACUACGGAAUAGCUCCGGGAAACUGGUGGUAAUACCGUAUACGCCCUUAGGGGGAAAGAUUUAUCGGUGAAAGAUCGGCCCGCGUUAGAUUAGAUAGUUGGUGGGGUAAUGGCCUACCAAGUCUACGAUCUAUAGCUGGUCUGAGAGGAUGAUCAGCCACACUGGGACUGAGACACGGCCCAGACUCCUACGGGAGGCAGCAGUGGGGAAUCUUGCACAAUGGGCGCAAGCCUGAUGCAGCCAUGCCGCGUGAAUGAUGAAGGCCUUAGGGUUGUAAAAUUCUUUCAUCAGGGACGAUAAUGACGGUACCUGAAGAAGAAGCCCCGGCUAACUUCGUGCCAGCAGCCGCGGUAAUACGAAGGGGGCUAGCGUUGUUCGGAAUUACUGGGCGUAAAGCGCACGUAGGCGGACUUUUAAGUCUGGGGUGAAAGCCCGGAGCUCAACUCCGGAACUGCCUUGGAUACUGGGAAGUCUAGAG